RNAcentral lists this ribosomal RNA (459 nucleotides) under uncultured bacterium. Its description in RNAcentral is "partial 16S ribosomal RNA". It matches the Rfam family "Bacterial small subunit ribosomal RNA", at positions 29 to 523 of the family's 1533-position model. The record is from RNAcentral.
AACGAACGCUGGCGGCAGGCCUAACACAUGCAAGUCGAACGAGAAGCCACCUUCGGGUGGUGGACAGUGGCAGACGGGUGAGUAACGCGUGGGAACGUGCCUUUCGGUUCGGGAUAACCCAGGGAAACUUGGGCUAAUACCGGAUACGCCCUUCGGGGGAAAGAUUCAUUGCCGAAAGAUCGGCCCGCGUCGGAUUAGCUAGUUGGGGGGGUAAAAGCCUACAAAGGCGACGAUCCGUAGCCGGUCUGAGAGGAUGACCAGCCACCCUGGGACUGAGACACGGCCCAGACUCCUACGGGAGGCAGGAGUGGGGAAUAUUGGACAAUGGGCGCAAGCCUGAUCCAGCCAUGCCGCGUGGGUGAAGAAGGCCUUAGGGUUGUAAACCCCUUUCAGCGGGGAAGAUAAUGACGGUACCCGCAGAAGAAUUCCCGGCUAACUCCGUGCCAGCCGCCGCCGUAA